RNAcentral lists this ribosomal RNA (804 nucleotides) under Lentzea sp. RNAcentral's name for it is "bacterial SSU rRNA". It matches the Rfam family "Bacterial small subunit ribosomal RNA", at positions 63 to 883 of the family's 1533-position model. The record is from RNAcentral. Lineage: Bacteria; Bacillati; Actinomycetota; Actinomycetes; Pseudonocardiales; Pseudonocardiaceae.
CGAGCGGUAAGGCCCUUCGGGGUACACGAGCGGCGAACGGGUGAGUAACACGUGGGUAACCUGCCCUGUACUCUGGGAUAAGCCCGGGAAACUGGGUCUAAUACCGGAUAUGACACCGGAUCGCAUGAUCUGGUGUGGAAAGUUCCGGCGGUAUGGGAUGGACCCGCGGCCUAUCAGCUUGUUGGUGGGGUAAUGGCCUACCAAGGCGACGACGGGUAGCCGGCCUGAGAGGGUGACCGGCCACACUGGGACUGAGACACGGCCCAGACUCCUACGGGAGGCAGCAGUGGGGAAUAUUGCACAAUGGGCGAAAGCCUGAUGCAGCGACGCCGCGUGAGGGAUGACGGCCUUCGGGUUGUAAACCUCUUUCAGCAGGGACGAAGCGCAAGUGACGGUACCUGCAGAAGAAGCACCGGCUAACUACGUGCCAGCAGCCGCGGUAAUACGUAGGGUGCGAGCGUUGUCCGGAAUUAUUGGGCGUAAAGAGCUCGUAGGCGGUUUGUCGCGUCGGCCGUGAAAACUUGGGGCUUAACCCCGAGCCUGCGGUCGAUACGGGCAGACUUGAGUUCGGCAGGGGAGACUGGAAUUCCUGGUGUAGCGGUGAAAUGCGCAGAUAUCAGGAGGAACACCGGUGGCGAAGGCGGGUCUCUGGGCCGAUACUGACGCUGAGGAGCGAAAGCGUGGGGAGCGAACAGGAUUAGAUACCCUGGUAGUCCACGCCGUAAACGGUGGGUGCUAGGUGUGGGGGACUUCCACGUUCUCCGUGCCGCAGCUAACGCAUUAAGCACCCCGCCUGGGGAGUAC